Molecule: ribosomal RNA, 443 nt
Filed under: uncultured bacterium
Lineage: Bacteria
Description: partial 16S ribosomal RNA
Rfam family: Bacterial small subunit ribosomal RNA
Source: RNAcentral
CCUACGGGAUGCAGCAGUGGGGAAUAUUGGGCAAUGGGCGCAAGCCUGACCCAGCAACGCCGCGUGAAGGAAGAAGGCUCUCGGGUUGUAAACUUCUUUUUUCAGGGACGAAGCAAGUGACGGUACCUGAGUAAUAAGCCACGCCUAACUACGUGCCUACAGCCGCUGUAAUCCGUAGGUGGCAAGCGUUAUCCGGAUUUACUUGGUGUAAAGGACGUGUAGGCGGGACUGCAAGUCAGAGGUGAAAACCACGGGCUCAACCUGUGGCCUGCAGUGGAAACUGUAGUUCUUGAGUACUGGGGAGGCAGGCGGAAUUCGUGGUGUAGCGGUGAAAUGCGUAGAUAUUAGGAGGAACACCGGUGGCGAAGGCGGUCUGCGGGACAGCAACUGACGCUGAGGCGCGAAAGCGUGGGGAGCGAACAGGAUUAGAUACCCUGGUAGUC